AGGUCCUGCCUGCCCAGUGAAAAUUUUUCAACGGCCGCGGUAUUCUAACCGUGCAAAGGUAGCGUAAUCACUUGUCUCCUAAAUAGAGACUAGUAUGAAUGGCUAAAUGAGGACAAACCUGUCUCCUAUAACCCAUCAGUGAAACUGAUCUUCCAGUCCAAAAGCUGGAGUAAACACAUAAGACGAGAAGACCCUGUGGAGCUUAAAACUGACUACCAAUAUACCACCCAUAUUUGGUAUUAAAGCUUUGAGUUGGGGCGACUUCGGAAAAAAACAAAACUUCCGAGCACAGAACCACCACUUCUUACUAAGGCCAACAAGCCAAAGACUUACUUGACCCAGUCAUACUGAUCAACGAACCAAGUUACCCCAGGGAUAACAGCGCUAUCUUCUUCAAGAGUCCAUAUCGACAAGAAGGUUUACGACCUCGAUGUUGGAUCAGGACACCCCAAUGGUGCAGCCGCUAUUAAAGGUUCGUUUGUUCAACGAUUAAUAGUCCUACGUGAUCUGAGU
Molecule: ribosomal RNA, 513 nt
Filed under: Sphenomorphus sabanus
Lineage: Eukaryota; Metazoa; Chordata; Lepidosauria; Squamata; Scincidae
Description: partial 16S ribosomal RNA
Rfam family: Bacterial large subunit ribosomal RNA
Source: RNAcentral